AUUGAACGCUGGCGGCAUGCCUUACACAUGCAAGUCGAACGGCAGCACGGGAGCAAUCCUGGUGGCGAGUGGCGAACGGGUGAGUAAAGUAUCGGAACGUGCCCAGUCGUGGGGGAUAACGUAGCGAAAGUUACGCUAAUACCGCAUACGAUCUAUGGAUGAAAGCGGGGGAUCGCAAGACCUCGCGCGAUUGGAGCGGCCGAUAUUAGAUUAGGUAGUUGGUGGGGUAAAGGCUGACCAAGCCGGCGAUCUGGAGCUGAUCUGAGAGGACGACCAGCCACACCGGGACUGAGACACGGCCCAGACUCCUACGGGAGGCAGCAGUGGGGAAUUUUGGACAAUGGGCGAAAGCCUGAUCCAGCCAUGCCGCGUGCAGGAUGAAGGCCUUCGGGUUGUAAACUGCUUUUGUACGGAACGAAAAGGUUUGGCCUAAUAAGCUGAGCUCAUGACGGUACCGUAAGAAUAAGCACCGGCUAACUACGUGCCAGCCGCCGCCGUAA
RNAcentral lists this ribosomal RNA (500 nucleotides) under uncultured bacterium. Its description in RNAcentral is "partial 16S ribosomal RNA". It matches the Rfam family "Bacterial small subunit ribosomal RNA", at positions 30 to 523 of the family's 1533-position model. The record is from RNAcentral.